AGUGAACGCUGGCGGUGGGCCUAACACAUGCAAGUCGAACGGCAGCACAGUAAGAGCUUGCUCUUACGGGUGGCGAGUGGCGGACGGGUGAGGAAUACAUCGGAUUCUACUUUUUCGUGGGGGAUAACGGAGGGAAACUUACGCUAAUACCGAAUACUACCUACGGCUGAAAGCAGGGGAUCUUCAGACCUUGCGCGAUUGAAUGAGCCGAUGUCGGAUUAGCUAGUUGGCGGGGUAAAGGCCCACCAAGGCGACGAUCCGUAGCUGGUCUGAGAGGAUGAUCAGCCACACUGGAACUGAGACACGGUCCAGACUCCUACGGGAGGCAGCAGUGGGGAAUAUUGGACAAUGGGCGCAAGCCUGAUCCAGCCAUACCGCGUGGGUGAAGAAGGCCUUCGGGUUGUAAAGCCCUUUUGUUAGGAAAGAAAAGCAGCAGGUUAAUACCCCGCUGUUCUGACGGUACCCAAAGAAUAAGCACCGGCUAACUUCGUG
Molecule: ribosomal RNA, 492 nt
Filed under: uncultured bacterium
Lineage: Bacteria
Description: partial 16S ribosomal RNA
Rfam family: Bacterial small subunit ribosomal RNA
Source: RNAcentral